GUGGGGAAUUGUUCGCAAUGGGCGCAAGCCUGACGACGCAACGCCGCGUGGAGGAUGAAGGUCUUCGGAUUGUAAACUCCUGUUGACCGGGACGAAUGCUUUCCGGGCUAACACCCCGGGGAAUUGACGGUACCGGUUGAGGAAGCCCCGGCUAACUCUGUGCCAGCAGCCGCGGUAAUACAGAGGGGGCAAGCGUUGUUCGGAAUUACUGGGCGUAAAGGGCGCGUAGGCGGCCGACUAAGUCCGACGUGAAAUCCCCCGGCUCAACUGGGGAACUGCGUCGGAUACUGGAUGGCUUGAAUCCGGGAGAGGGAUGUGGAAUUCCAGGUGUAGCGGUGAAAUGCGUAGAUAUCUGGAGGAACACCGGUGGCGAAGGCGGCAUCCUGGACCGGAAUUGACGCUGAGGCGCGAAAGCCAGGGGAGCAAACGGGAUUAGAAACCCCAGUAGUCC
Molecule: ribosomal RNA, 451 nt
Filed under: uncultured bacterium
Lineage: Bacteria
Description: bacterial SSU rRNA
Rfam family: Bacterial small subunit ribosomal RNA
Source: RNAcentral